AUUGAACGCUGGCGGCAGGCCUAACACAUGCAAGUCGAGCGAGCGGCGGACGGGUGAGUAAUGUAUGGGGACUGCCCGAUAGAGGGGGAUAACUACUGGAAACGGUGGCUAAUACCGCAUACUAUCGGAUAACCCAUAUGGGAUUAGCUAGUAGGUGGGGUAAAGGCUCACCUAGGCGACGAUCUCUAGCUGGUCUGAGAGGAUGAUCAGCCACACGGGGAACGAGACACGGGCCAGACUAAUACGGAGGCAGCAGUGGUGAAUGUUGCGCAAUGGACGGUAGCCUAAUUCAGCCAUGCCGCGUGUAUGAAAAAGGCCUUAGAAUUGUAAAAUACUUUCAGCGGGGAGGCGUUACCCGCAGAAGAAGCACAGGCUAACUACGUGCCAGCCGCCGCGGUAAUUC
This 403-nucleotide ribosomal RNA is filed under the name uncultured bacterium. RNAcentral describes it as "partial 16S ribosomal RNA". It matches the Rfam family "Bacterial small subunit ribosomal RNA", at positions 30 to 526 of the family's 1533-position model. The record is from RNAcentral.